This 422-nucleotide ribosomal RNA is filed under the name uncultured soil bacterium. RNAcentral's name for it is "bacterial SSU rRNA". It matches the Rfam family "Bacterial small subunit ribosomal RNA", at positions 26 to 460 of the family's 1533-position model. The record is from RNAcentral.
AGAUUGAACGCUGGCGGCAUGCCUAACACAUGCAAGUCGAACGGGAGUAGCAAUACUCUAGUGGCGGACGGGUGAGGAAUACGUAGGAAUUUGCCCUUAAGUGGGGGAUAACCCGGGGAAACCCGGAUUAAUACCGCAUGACCUCGAAAGAGCAAAGUGGGGGAUCGCAAGACCUCACGCUUUUGGAGAAGCCUACGUCGGAUUAGCUAGUUGGUGAGGUAAUGGCUCACCAAGGCGACGAUCCGUAACUGGUCUGAGAGGAUGAUCAGUCACACCGGAACUGAGACACGGUCCGGACUCCUACGGGAGCCAGCAGGUGGGGAAUAGUGGACAAGUGGGCGUAAGCCUGAUCCAGCAAUGCCGCGUGUGUGAAGAGGCCGUUCGGUAGUAAGCUACGUUAAGUAGGAAGAAAACUCGACCUA